RNAcentral lists this ribosomal RNA (253 nucleotides) under uncultured bacterium. RNAcentral describes it as "partial 16S ribosomal RNA". It matches the Rfam family "Bacterial small subunit ribosomal RNA", at positions 524 to 776 of the family's 1533-position model. The record is from RNAcentral.
UACGUAGGGGGCAAGCGUUGUCCGGAUUUAUUGGGCGUAAAGCGCGCGUAGGCGGCCAACUAAGUCAGACGUGAAAUCCCUCAGCUUAACUGGGGAACUGCGUCUGAUACUGGAUGGCUUGGAUUCGGGAGAGGAAUGCGGAAUUCCAGGUGUAGCGGUGAAAUGCGUAGAUAUCUGGAGGAACACCGGUGGCGAAGGCGGCAUUCUGGACCGAUAUUGACGCUGAGGAGCGAAAGCCAGGGGAGCAAACGGG